Molecule: non-coding RNA, 99 nt
Organism: Acanthosepion pharaonis
Lineage: Eukaryota; Metazoa; Mollusca; Cephalopoda; Sepiida; Sepiidae
Source: the annotation of a GenBank genome assembly
UUACGGCCAUAUCAUGUUGAAACACCGGUUCUGGUACGACCACCGAAGUUAAGCAACGUCGAGCUUGGUCAGUACCUAGAUGGGUGACCGUUUGGGAGC